CUUCUGCCACUUGGACAUCAUCUGGGUGAACACUCCUGAUUCAAGUGCUGAGGCUCAGAGAGCUUAAGCGCCUCCCCCAAGAUCACACAACAGACAGCUCCUUACGGCCUGGGAAACCCGCCAAGACGCCGGCGCCGCUCCCUGCCAAGGCGCUGUCAGUGCUCCAGUGCCAGGGACCCCGCCUGUGCCACCUUCUGCCUUCGAAGGCCCUGACUGAAGCCGGGGCAGUCCCAAGCCGGAAGUCCCCUGCAGACGUGUUCCAGACUGGCAAGACAGGGGCCACUACAGGAGAGCUUCUCCAAAGGCUGAGGACAUUUCCACAGUCAAGAGCCUCUUUGCCAAGCGACAACAGGAGGC
RNAcentral lists this long non-coding RNA (357 nucleotides) under Homo sapiens (human). RNAcentral describes it as "non-protein coding lnc-EDN2-2:6". The record is from RNAcentral. Lineage: Eukaryota; Metazoa; Chordata; Mammalia; Primates; Hominidae.